GAUGAACGCUGGCGGCGUGCUUAACACAUGCAAGUCGAACGAAGCACUUUAUUACGAUUUCUUCGGAAUGACGAUUUAGUGACUGAGUGGCGGACGGGUGAGUAACGCGUGGGUAACCUGCCUUAUACAGGGGGAUAACAGUUAGAAAUGACUGCUAAUACCGCAUAAGCGCACAGGAUUGCAUGAUCUGGUGUGAAAAACUCCGGUGGUAUAAGAUGGACCCGCGUCUGAUUAGCUGGUUGGUGAGGUAACGGCCCACCAAGGCGACGAUCAGUAGCCGACCUGAGAGGGUGACCGGCCACAUUGGGACUGAGACACGGCCCAAACUCCUACGGGAGGCAGCAGUGGGGAAUAUUGCACAAUGGGGGAAACCCUGAUGCAGCGACGCCGCGUGAGCGAAGAAGUAUUCGGUAUGUAAAGCUCUAUCAGCAGGGAAGAAAAAAAUGAACGGUACCUGACUAAGAAGCCCCGGCGUAACUACGUGCCAGCAGCCGACGG
RNAcentral lists this ribosomal RNA (498 nucleotides) under uncultured bacterium. Its description in RNAcentral is "bacterial SSU rRNA". It matches the Rfam family "Bacterial small subunit ribosomal RNA", at positions 28 to 520 of the family's 1533-position model. The record is from RNAcentral.